GGAAGGGUGGCUGAGUGGUUUAAAGCGCUGGUCUUGAAAACCAGUGGGGAGCUUGUCUUCCUCGUGGGUUCGAAUCCCACCCCUUCCGCCA
Molecule: transfer RNA, 91 nt
Filed under: candidate division WWE3 bacterium CG_4_10_14_0_2_um_filter_47_8
Lineage: Bacteria; candidate division WWE3
Description: tRNA-Ser
Rfam family: tRNA
About the family: Transfer RNA (tRNA) molecules are approximately 80 nucleotides in length. Their secondary structure includes four short double-helical elements and three loops (D, anti-codon, and T loops).
Source: RNAcentral